UGGGGAAUAUUGCACAAUGGGCGAAAGCCUGAUGCAGCGACGCCGCGUGAGGGAUGACGGCCAUCGGGUUGUAAACCUCUUUCAGCAGGGACGAAGCGCAAGUGACGGUACCUGCAGAAGAAGCACCGGCUAACUACGUGCCAGCAGCCGCGGUAAUACGUAGGGUGCAAGCGUUGUCCGGAAUUACUGGGCGUAAAGAGUUCGUAGGGGGUUUGUCGCGUCGUUUGUGAAAACCAGCAGCUCAACUGCGGGCUUGCAGGCGAUACGGGCAGACUUGAGUACUGCAGGGGAGACUGGAAUUCCUGGUGUAGAGGUGAAAUGCGCAGAUAUCAGGAGGAACACCGGUGGCGAAGGCGGGUCUCUGGGCAGUAACAGACGCUGAGGAACGAAAGCGUGGGUAGCGAACAGG
Molecule: ribosomal RNA, 409 nt
Filed under: Actinomycetes bacterium
Lineage: Bacteria; Bacillati; Actinomycetota; Actinomycetes
Description: Actinobacteria bacterium partial 16S ribosomal RNA
Rfam family: Bacterial small subunit ribosomal RNA
Source: RNAcentral